Molecule: ribosomal RNA, 120 nt
Filed under: Olea europaea subsp. europaea
Lineage: Eukaryota; Viridiplantae; Streptophyta; Magnoliopsida; Lamiales; Oleaceae
Description: SSU_rRNA_bacteria
Source: RNAcentral
AAUAAUGGGGGAGUGGACAUAAUGGGAUUAAGUAUCUCAGUAGUCCUAGUCGUAAACAUCAGAUACUAGGCAUUGGGAGUGUCAAUCCGUGCAAUGCUGUAGCUGACGCGUUAAAUAUCC